This 414-nucleotide ribosomal RNA is filed under the name uncultured microorganism. RNAcentral's name for it is "bacterial SSU rRNA". It matches the Rfam family "Archaeal small subunit ribosomal RNA", at positions 459 to 872 of the family's 1478-position model. The record is from RNAcentral.
CAGCCGCCGCGGUAAUACCGGCGGCCCGAGUGGCGGCUACUAUUAUUGGGCCUAAAGCGUCCGUAGCCGGGCUGGUAAGUCCUCCGGGAAAUCUGGUCGCUUAAAGAUCAGACUUCCGGAGGAUACUGCUGGCCUAGGGAACGGGAGAGGCCGAGGGGAUUCCCGGGGUAGGGGUGAAAUCCUGUAAUCCCGGGAGGACCACCUGUGGCGAAGGCGCUCGGCUGGAACGGGUCCGACGGUGAGGGACGAAGGCCAGGGGAGCGAACCGGAUUAGAUACCCGGGUAGUCCUGGCGGUAAACGAUGCGGACUAGGUGUCGGGCAAGCUAAGGGCUUGUCCGGUGCCGGAGGGAAACCGUUAAGUCCGCCGCCUGGGGAGUACGGCCGCAAGGCUGAAACUUAAAGGAAUUGGCGGG